Nerophis ophidion (straightnose pipefish) is the source of this 4289-nucleotide long non-coding RNA. RefSeq lists it as uncharacterized. The record is from RefSeq and is a predicted model, not a curated record. The transcript has 3 exons. NCBI's taxonomy places the organism in Eukaryota, Metazoa, Chordata, Actinopteri, Syngnathiformes, Syngnathidae.
GCCACCUAGCGUUGUGACGUCAGAAAACAUAGUUAGCCAUGCUGGUGUUAGCAUGGCUAACAAUGUUUUCUGACGUCACAAUGCGAGUUCAUUCUAACACUAGCAUGGCUAACAUUCUUCUCUUCUUCAUCACAACUAGAAGUGGCUACUUGUAAACAUGAGUUUCUUUUACGUCACAACGCUAGGUGUCUACGUGUUUGACCUAACCACCUAGCGUAUUGUUCUUGCUAACACUAGCAUGGCUAAUAUUGUUGUUCUUUGCCGUCACAAAGCUAGUUCAUGCUAACAUUGUUCUCUUACAUCACAACGCAAAGUGGCUACUUCCUAGCAUGACUUUCUUCCACGUCACAAUGCUAGGUGGUUACGUCACACUUGUAGCCAUAGACAUGUUAGAAGUAGACGCAGCGUUUGCUGCUACGACGCGAAAAAUCGGGCCGCCAUCUUGAAGUGGUGAUGAGCCGGUGAGCAGCCUAAAACUGACACUUGACAGGUAGAAAACAAAGAUGGUGUACAGCGUUUUCCUGCUCAAAUGAACGGCAUACUUGCUAACCUUGAGACCGUAGCGUCCCGGAAGAGUUAGUGCUGCAAGUGGUUCUGGAUAUUUGUUCUGUCGUGUUACGGUGCGGAUGUUCUCCCGAAAUGUGUUUGUCAUUUUUGUUUGGUGUUGGUUCACAGCGUGGCGCAUAUUUGUAGCAGUGUUAAAGUUGUUUAUACGGCCACCCUAAGUGUCACCUGUAUGUGUGUUGACCAAGUAUGCCCUACAUUCACGUAUGUGGGUGUAAAAGCCGUAGAUAUUAUGUGACCGAGCCGGCAAGCUGUUUGUACGGAGGAACAGUGGACGUGAUAUGUUGUAGAGCAGGGGUAGGGAACCUGUGGCUCUUUUGAUGACUGCUUCUGGCUCUCAGAUAAAUCUUAGCUAACAUUGCUUAACGCGAUAAUUACGAAUAAUUUUGCCGGUAAUCACAGUGCUAAAAACGUGCAAAAUAUAAAACAUUCUCAUGUAUUUAAAUCCAUCCAUCCGUUUCCUACCGCACCUGUUCAAGAAGUCGCAUUAAUGGUAAGAAGUAUUUUAUGUCACGAUGGGGGGUUCGCAGCUUGCUGCAGGGUCGUUCUCCCAGGAAGGCAGACGGACUACUCGGGACAUAGCAUUUAGGUAAAAACAUGAUUUAAUUUAAGCUAAAAGAAAGAUACAAACAAAAAUCGCUCACAGCGGAGGCAUAACUUGGGCUAAGGAACAAAGUUAACGCAUAAACAGAAUAUGAACAUAAAUCAAAACUUAUUUGGCACGAAACUAUGGCAAGGCAUGAAACAAGUCAGCACAGGGCGACUGACUGGCAAAGACAAGCUUAAAUACUGCCUCUGAUUAGUGCUCGGGAAGCAGGUGAGCGGGCAUUUUGUCCACCAGAGACAGGUGGACAAAAUGAGUAACCAAGGAAACCAGACAAGGGAGUGGAAAAAAAACAGGAACUUAAAGAGUCCAAAGGACAAACAAAAACAUGAUCAACAGACAUAACAUUUGAUUUAUUAUUGGUUAGCUUCAGAAUAACAAUGUUAUUAAAAAGAAUAAGACACUUAUUAUACUCUAAAUAUGUUAGUCUUACUUAAAAAUGCACACAUUUAGUUGUAUUCAGUGUUAAAAAAUAUGAUAUGGCUCUCACGGAAAUACAUUUUUGAAAUAUUUGGAUUUCAUGGCUCUCUCAGCCAAAAAGGUUCCCGACCCCUGAUGUAUUGUACCAUAUGUCCCGGCAAGAAAUCUGCGUUCAAAAGACUCCGGCUUAUUAGUGAUUCCUAGAGCUCAAAAAAAGUCUGCGGGCUAUAGAGCGUUUUCCGUUCGGGCUCCAGUACUCUGGAAUGCCCUCCCGGUAACAGUUCGAGAUGCUACCUCAGUAGAAGCAUUUAAGUCUCAUCUUAAAACUCAUCUGUAUACUCUAGCCUUUAAAUAGACCUUUUUAGACCAGUUGAUCUGCCGCUUCUUUUCUUUCUCCUAUGUCCCCCCCUCCCUUGUGGAGGGGGUCCGGUCCGAUGACCAUGGAUGAAGUACUGACUGUCCAGAGUCGGGACCCAGGAUGGACCGCUCGCCUGUAUCGGUUGGGGACAUCUCUACGCUGCUGAUCCGCUUGAGAUGGUUUCCUGUGGACGGGACUCUCGCUGCUGUCUUGGAGCCACUAUGGAUUGAACUUUCACAGUAUCAUGUUAGACCCGCUCGACAUCCAUUGCUUUCGGUCCCCUAGAGGGGGGGGGUUGCCCACAUCUGAGGUCCUCUCCAAGGUUUCUCAUAGUCAGCAUUGUCACUGGCGUCCCACUGGAUGUGAAUUCUCCCUGCCCACUGGGUGUGAGUUUUCCUUGCCCUUUUGUGGGUUCUUCCCAGGAUGUUGUAGUCGUAAUGAUUUGUGCAGUCCUUUGAGACAUUUGUGAUUUGGGGCUAUAUAAAUAAACAUUGAUUGAUUGAUUGAUUGAUGUAGAGGAUGCUAAAGACAGUGCCUCUGAGGCACGCCCCCAAUAUAGUUGUCCAGGAAACAUUUGGGAGAAUGGUUGCCCGGGGAGAUUUUGGGGAGGGGGCACUGAAAUUGGGGAGUCUCCUGGGAAAAUCGUGAGGGUAAGCAAGUAUGAUGAGAGGACUGUUGAAAAUAGGAAUCAGGGGAUUACUUUUCCUGAGUAAGAUUUAACAUUAACCUACUAUUGGUUGUAUUUUUUUUAAGCAAAGUUACUUUCUUAACAGUAUAAUUGUAACCAGGAAUAAGUCUUCAAGUAACAAUAUUCAAAUACUAACAUCGUUGGGUAGGACAGAAUUUGGUUUUAUUCUGAAUCCAGUGAAACAGAUUGGUGGUUUUAGCGGAUAUAAAGACUUUCAGGUGUUUAUGUAUGUUUAUGUUGAAGUAUUUGGCAGACGCUUUUAUCCAAAGCGUCAAACAUAAAAAAUACAUAUAAAACAAUCACUGUAAACAUGAUCAUUUAAGGCAGUGGUCCCCAAAUUUUUUGUAGCUGCGAACCAAUCAAUGCUUGAUCAUUUGUCCCAGUUGCUGCACUAAUUGUAAGUGUAUCUUGUGUUUUAUGUUGAUUUAAUAAAAAAUCAAAAAAUAAUAAUAAAAAAUUCUUCUGCGGCCUGGUACCAGUGGAGCCCGGUGGUUGGGGACCACUGAUUUAAGGGAAGAAUGUAAUACUAAAUAUCAAUACAAAGUGUCAAGACAGAAUGUGAAUUAUAUUUAUAUAGCGCUUUUCUCUAGUGCAGGCCUGGCCAACCCGCGGCUCUUUAACUAGUUCCAUGCGGCUCUUCAUGAGCUGUCACAUGACAUGCGUCAAAAAUGCUUGGCUGGCGCUGUCAUUAACUCCUCCUACAGCUAGAUGGCACACUGACCAUGUAAGCCUGUUUGAGUGACGUCAAACGAGCGCCGAGAGAAUCUUUGGUGUGACAUCAUUUGUGUUGUAAACAAUUUCCGUCAAGUUACCUCUUGAAAUGGCAGGGAAAAAAAGCAUAGUCAAACGAAAAUGUGAAGAACACAGGACGUUUUUGCCAGAGACCUCGAGUGGAUUAUGGAUGUGGCAUUUUCAGUCGACAUGCUGUGUCACUUGGACAGACUGAACCUGACCCUGCAGGGUGUGUAAGACGACAGCAGGUGUGGCUCACCCACCUGAACUAUGACCUCUUCCUUGGACUGCUCCAACACGCCCAGUCUGAGGAUCUCAGAUUUGGGAAUCACCUGCGGACAUGAGUCACAUUGCUUGACUUCUUCUUCCACUUGAAGCUGCCAGUGUGUUGCACGAGGUACCUUGACAGCGUACGUCUUCUGCUUGCUCUUGUCCUUCACCUUCAGGAUGGGGCCGAAAGAACCUUUGGCGAUGUAGCCCAACACCUGACAAGGUGCAGGCCUGUGUGGGAACUCGGGCAGGAACAUGGUCACCCAGCCCGGCAGGCUCCACUCCGCCCUCAGCUUGUCGGGCCCCACAGCCGCCAGCCUCAGCACAUGUUCGGGGAUGUCGGGCGCCUUGGCCUGGAGCAUGCGCCGCCCAGCCGGGCGCAGGGGGGGCGGAGCCAGGCGGCAGACGGCGGCGGGGAGGGACAGGCUCAUGCCGGACAGGAAGCCGCGCCAUCCCGACACCAGGUUCUGGUCCUCCCGGGCGUCAGUGGGCCUCUGGUGAGGAAGAAUAGUUACCUUAGAAUGUUCUCCAACAAAGGUGUCCAAAGUGUGUAAAGACCUAUUGUAAAAAUAUUGUUAAAUAGUGGCAAAUACUGCAAAAGUUUUGUACAAAUAUUGUAAAAAAUAUUGUACAUGUAUCAUACUAAAUAUUAA